AUCGCUUCUCGGCCUUUUGGCUAAGAUCAAGUGUAGAAAAUAAAAGUCUUGUCCAAAUGAAAAUGAACAAGAACACAAUUUUUGACAAAAGAAAUGCAAU
Molecule: non-coding RNA, 100 nt
Organism: Podarcis lilfordi (Lilford's wall lizard)
Lineage: Eukaryota; Metazoa; Chordata; Lepidosauria; Squamata; Lacertidae
Source: the annotation of a GenBank genome assembly